AGCAGUUGUAGUUGUUGACUCCACUGAGAGGGUACUUUCACUCCCUUCUGACUUGAGUGGAAAAUGAGCAGCCAUUUUCAUGAAGGCAGAACUGCAAUCAAACAAGAUUUAAGAUACUUCUCAUUCAGGGAAUGAUUAGACAAGGAUAAAGAAUUCAGGGGAUAACAGUUAAAUUAAAUGAAUAGGGGAAGAUUUGUGGAAUUGGUGUUUGACAGGAAGGAGGAAGAGGUAGAGGGGAAGUUUUACCCCCCCCCCCCCCCCCCCCCCCCGGCGGUUGAGAUAAUAACUUUUGAACACCCGCUCAUGAGUCAACUUUGAUUUCCACCCUUUUACCUUCUCUCAUGUUGUUACCUCGAAAGAUGGUCUGCUACAUUCUGAGUAAGAAAGACUCCGAUAACAGAGUCCAGAACAGAGCCUUUCCAAGGAGUGAAGCGUCUAUCUCCUGUAUGAAGCAAACGUUUUUUGUUACUUACCAACUUUAUUACUAUGGCUGAAGGCUGAUUAGCAUCAUACAAGAUUAGGUCCCUCUUGUUUGAAGAAUUCUGUUUCCUAGAUUCCCUCUUUGAUCUUGGCUUUGGUGUGC
Molecule: long non-coding RNA, 583 nt
Organism: Chenopodium quinoa (quinoa)
Lineage: Eukaryota; Viridiplantae; Streptophyta; Magnoliopsida; Caryophyllales; Amaranthaceae
Exons: 3
Source: RefSeq, a predicted model, not a curated record